This 253-nucleotide ribosomal RNA is filed under the name uncultured bacterium. Its description in RNAcentral is "partial 16S ribosomal RNA". It matches the Rfam family "Bacterial small subunit ribosomal RNA", at positions 524 to 776 of the family's 1533-position model. The record is from RNAcentral.
UACGAAGGGGGCUAGCGUUGCUCGGAAUCAUUGGGCGUAAAGGGUGCGUAGGCGGCGCGGUAAGUCGGGUGUGAAAUCUUGGAGCUUAACUCCGAAACUGCAUUCGAUACUGCCGUGCUUGAGGACUGGAGAGGAGACUGGAAUUUACGGUGUAGCGGUGAAAUGCGUAGAUAUCGUAAGGAAGACCAGUGGCGAAGGCGGGUCUCUGGACAGUUCCUGACGCUGAGGCACGAAGGCCAGGGGAGCAAACGGG